GGGUGCGAUCAUACCAGCACUAAUGCAUCGGAUCCCAUUGGAACUCCGAAGUCAAGGAUUCUUGGGCGAGAAUGGUACUAAGACGAGCUUUGUCACAGGACUUUCACAGACAUAGGCA
Molecule: non-coding RNA, 118 nt
Organism: Cephalotus follicularis
Lineage: Eukaryota; Viridiplantae; Streptophyta; Magnoliopsida; Oxalidales; Cephalotaceae
Source: Rfam